RNAcentral lists this ribosomal RNA (468 nucleotides) under uncultured bacterium. RNAcentral's name for it is "partial 16S ribosomal RNA". It matches the Rfam family "Bacterial small subunit ribosomal RNA", at positions 28 to 507 of the family's 1533-position model. The record is from RNAcentral.
GACGAACGCUGGCGGCGUGCCUAACACAUGCAAGUCGAACGGAAAGGCCCUGCUUUUGUGGGGUGCUCGAUUGGCGAACGGGUGAGUAACACAUGAGUAACCUGCCCUUGACUUUGGGAUAACUUCAGGAAACUGGGGCUAAUACCGCAUAGGAGCUCCUGCUGCACGGUGGGGGUUGGAAAGUUUCGGCGGUUGGGGAUGGUCUCGCGGCUUAUCAGCUUGUUGGUGGGGUAGUGGCUUACCAAGGGUUUGACGGGUAGGCGGCCUGAGAGGGUGACCGGCGACAUUGGGACUGAGAUACGGCCCAGACGCCUACGGGAGGCAGCAGUGGGGAAUAUUGCACAAUGGGCGGAAGCCUGAUGCAGCAACGCCGCGUGCGGGAUGACGGCCUUCGGGUUGUAAACCGCUGUCGCCUGUGACGAAGCGUGAGUGACGGUAAUGGGUAAAGAAGCACCGGCUAACUACGUG